AUGUUUGCUAUGGAGAUUUUCGGGCAUGUGAGAGAAGUCGAUUGUUAUCCUAAUAUCUCCAUUGCCUAUCGCAUCUUAUUUACUGUGCCUGUGAUGCUCUCAUCAGCCAAAAGAAGCUUUUUGAAGUUGAAAUUAUUGAAGAACUAUUCAAGGUCAACAAUGACUCAAGAGAGGUUAAAUGGGUUGGCUACAUUAUGCAUCGAGAAGAAAUUAUUGGAUGAGAUUGACAUCGACCCCAUCAUAAGUGACUUUGCAUCGAGGAAUGUUAGAAGAUUUUUUUAG
Molecule: ribosomal RNA, 282 nt
Filed under: Triticum aestivum (bread wheat)
Lineage: Eukaryota; Viridiplantae; Streptophyta; Magnoliopsida; Poales; Poaceae
Description: partial small subunit ribosomal RNA
Source: RNAcentral